AACUUUGAAGACCGAAGUGGAGAAUGGUUCCAUGUGAACAGCAGUUGGGCAUGGGUUAGUCGAUCCUAAGAGAUGAGGUAAUUCUGUAUGAAGGGUUCAAUCGAACCGUCCAUCGAAAGGGGAUCGGGUUAAAAUUCCCGAACUGGGAUUCGGCUGCGGGCGGCAACGCAAACGAGCCUGGCGACGCCGGCGGGAGCCCCGG
Molecule: ribosomal RNA, 202 nt
Filed under: Strombidinopsis acuminata
Lineage: Eukaryota; Ciliophora; Spirotrichea; Choreotrichida; Strombidinopsidae
Description: partial Eukaryotic large subunit ribosomal RNA
Rfam family: Eukaryotic large subunit ribosomal RNA
Source: RNAcentral